UACAGAGGGUGCAAGCGUUGUUCGGAAUUAUUGGGCGUAAAGGGCGCGUAGGCGGUUCGGCAAGUCUCUAGUGAAAUCUCUGGGCUCAACUCAGAGUCUGCUGGGGAAACUGCCGGGCUUGAGUGUGGGAGAGGAGAGUGGAAUUCCCGGUGUAGCGGUGAAAUGCGUAGAUAUUGGGAGGAACACCAGUGGCGAAGGCGGCUCACUGGACCGGUACUGACGCUGA
This 226-nucleotide ribosomal RNA is filed under the name uncultured bacterium. RNAcentral's name for it is "partial 16S ribosomal RNA". It matches the Rfam family "Bacterial small subunit ribosomal RNA", at positions 524 to 749 of the family's 1533-position model. The record is from RNAcentral.